GGAGAGUUACAUUAAUGGUAAAUGAGCAGUCUGCUAAGCUGUUGUCCUAAAGGACUUACAGGUUCGAGUCCUGUACUCUCCGCCA
RNAcentral lists this transfer RNA (85 nucleotides) under Fusobacterium pseudoperiodonticum. RNAcentral describes it as "tRNA-Ser(gct)". It matches the Rfam family "tRNA". Rfam says of the family: Transfer RNA (tRNA) molecules are approximately 80 nucleotides in length. Their secondary structure includes four short double-helical elements and three loops (D, anti-codon, and T loops). The record is from RNAcentral. RNAcentral also lists the same sequence under 1 other name. Lineage: Bacteria; Fusobacteriati; Fusobacteriota; Fusobacteriia; Fusobacteriales; Fusobacteriaceae.